This 269-nucleotide long non-coding RNA is filed under the name Lotus japonicus. RNAcentral's name for it is "long non-coding RNA (LJAP_LNC001007)". Lineage: Eukaryota; Viridiplantae; Streptophyta; Magnoliopsida; Fabales; Fabaceae. The record is from RNAcentral.
UUCAUUCCAGCAGUGUGCGAGCGAGGGCUGUUUUUUUAAUUUUCGUCAGUCCACCCUCUCUCUUCUCUCUCUCUCUCUCUCUCUCUCCUCCACCACCCGCGAACUCUUUCUUUCUCGCUCUAGACGACAGAUCAACCGUAACAGAACCCACAAUCCUCCCUCCUCCUCCUCCGUUCUCCUCCAUCUCCGUUCGCCGUAUCGGAGCUCAAGAUCGGCGACCCUCAAUUUCGAUGCUGCUGGAUCCGCCGCAUCCGUAAUCCAAUCGAGUN